AGAUUGUUUGAUGGAAGGAAUGUUUGGUGAUAAUAACCACUUAUAUCACAGAAGUAAUGAAUAUUAGAGUUUUUACAAAUCAAUGUUGUUGCAAUAAAGUUCCUUAACCCUUACUAAAUGAAAAUGAACACUACCUGGCUUAUGCAAUUUGAGAUUGGAUACUAAAACGACUAGUUGUUGAUGAACGAUGAAUAGUGAUUCAAAGAAGUCUCUGGAAUAUUUUACAUGUUUCUUUGGUCCAAUACAUCAAGUCUCAUCCAUGCAUCACACAUAUCCUUUUUAUCAUUG
Molecule: long non-coding RNA, 288 nt
Organism: Aphis gossypii (cotton aphid)
Lineage: Eukaryota; Metazoa; Arthropoda; Insecta; Hemiptera; Aphididae
Exons: 2
Source: RefSeq, a predicted model, not a curated record